UACGUAGGGCCCAAGCGUUGUUCGGAUUUACUGGGCGUAAAGGGCGCGUAGGCGGCGCGGUAAGUCACUUGUGAAAUCUCUGAGCUUAACUCAGAACGGCCAAGUGAUACUGCAGUGCUAGAGUGUGGAAGGGGCAAUCGGAAUUCUUGGUGUAGCGGUGAAAUGCGCAGAUAUCAGGAGGAACACCGGUGGCGAAGGCGGGUCUCUGGGCCGAUACUGACGCUGAGGAGCGAAAGCGUGGGGAGCGAACAGG
This 253-nucleotide ribosomal RNA is filed under the name uncultured bacterium. RNAcentral's name for it is "partial 16S ribosomal RNA". It matches the Rfam family "Bacterial small subunit ribosomal RNA", at positions 524 to 776 of the family's 1533-position model. The record is from RNAcentral.